Molecule: long non-coding RNA, 859 nt
Organism: Bos taurus (domestic cattle)
Lineage: Eukaryota; Metazoa; Chordata; Mammalia; Artiodactyla; Bovidae
Source: Ensembl
GGGCGCUCUUGGCUUUAGCUCCAAACGCCGGUUUGGGAGAGUAUUGUGAAGGUCUUCCGUUUUGCCGCCUCUGCAUUCUUUCCGGGCAGUAGAGUAUGGGCUGUGCUCCUUGCGGGAUUGCUAACUUAUGUUGAGGGACUUCUUGGGAGGCUCUGCUCUCAGCUUUGUCUACAUGAGCUCAUGUUAUCUUCACCACCAUCCCAUGAGCACCUUCCAGGCUAUGAGGAUAAUCAAAAAGAAGUGAUGGUGUGUUGCUUGAGUCUAAACAGGUUUAUCAGGUUUCGUGAAGCAAGUGUUAAAAAGACAUAGCACAGUUUUAUGCACAUUUCAUAGAAAGGAGCCACCGAUGCCCACGCCACUGUUUCCAGAAGUCUCUCCCCCCAGCUUCUCUCAGAAUGCAGCCACGAAGACUCAGGAACCAGCAGCACUGGGGCUCCCCGUCUGCCCCAUGUGCCUCUGCAUCUGCCCAGAUCUGCCCCAAAACUGCUCCAAAGAGGUCCCUGCCCUUCAGAACCUUCUGCUGGGAACUCCUUCUCUCCCCACGUUUCCCAGCUCUGCCGUGGGGUAGGCAGGACUCUGUCGUUUGAAUUCCUUCUGUCAUAUGCAUAUUAUCCAACCUUAGAAAACACACAAGUCUGGCUGCCUAAGCUUCAGCUUUGACUGUCACUCUGUGUUUUUGACUGCAGUUAAUGAACCCUAACUGCCCCCAAAUACUCUGGCUUUCAGACUAUCGGAGCCAGCAUUCCCAACUGGAUAUCGAUUUACCAUUGCAUUUAUAUGAAAGAACAAGAAAGAGCUUUGUGUGUGUGUUUUAGCUACUUAAUCCUCAUUCCUUUUGGCUGAGAGCUUCUCCUUGGAC